AACCCCUGUCAGCCUGCCGGGGGACGCGGUGCCCGCCCUCCGGCAUCCGGGAAACAGCGUCCCAGCCGGCGCCUGCGCAGGUGCCACACUUCCUGGUCCUCUCUGGCUGCUUCUGAGGGCCUUGGCUCUGGCCGGGGGCGCUGCAACGGGCUCAGCCUUCUAGGGGUGGCGGGUGAAGGCCUACACCUGCCCCAGGACGGCCAGGUCCACCAGCACCUGCAACAGACGGAGAACUGAAGGAGCAUCUUGAAGCUGUGGCUGUCUUGAAGGUGUCGCCGCUUGUCCUCACGAGCACCAUUUUGAUUCUCGUGCCCUGUGUGCAUGGGUGGCCAGCGUUGCUGGUAGGGCUCCUGCACGCUCAGAGUGGCCUUGGCCAGGAAGUCCGGGGUUUCCGCAGGCAGAGUGGAUGAACAAGGUACUGAGAAGAUCACAUACUGCAUGUCCUCCUAAAACCUGGUCCUGGCAUAACCUUCUAAGCUGUUUUAUUCAGAUUACAAUAAAUCAUGCCAUUCACACAAGUUCUUACAGGGAUUUAAUUGCAUCUUUGAAAGGUUUGGCAGAUACAUCAAGCCAGUUCAUUAAUGCACAGAUGAUUCCUUCACAUUAAGAAAGACACGUUGGAGCACCAUAAAUGUCAAGGCAGUUAUUACGCACAAAAAGCAUAAAAUGGCAACCAUCAAAAGGUGAGCCCUUAUUCAGUUGAGAUCAAAAAUAAAACUGCAGUAACUCCUUUGUGUAAUAA
RNAcentral lists this long non-coding RNA (742 nucleotides) under Pan troglodytes (chimpanzee). Its description in RNAcentral is "lncRNA (ENSPTRG00000054566.1)". The record is from RNAcentral. Lineage: Eukaryota; Metazoa; Chordata; Mammalia; Primates; Hominidae.